RNAcentral lists this ribosomal RNA (253 nucleotides) under uncultured bacterium. RNAcentral's name for it is "partial 16S ribosomal RNA". It matches the Rfam family "Bacterial small subunit ribosomal RNA", at positions 524 to 776 of the family's 1533-position model. The record is from RNAcentral.
UACAGAGGCCUCGAGCGUUAGGCGGAAUCACUGGGCUUAAAGCGUGUGUAGGCGGACUUCUAAGUACCUUGUGAAAUCCCGCGGCUUACCCGUGGAACUGCUGGGUAUACUGGUUGUCUUGAGCCACUUAGGGGCUACCGGAACAAAUGGUGGAGCGGUGAAAUGCGUAGAUAUCAUUUGGAACGCCAAUGGUGAAAACAGGUAGCUGGGAGUGUGCUGACGCUGAGACACGAAAGCCAGGGGAGCGAACGGG